This 858-nucleotide ribosomal RNA is filed under the name Triticum aestivum (bread wheat). RNAcentral's name for it is "partial small subunit ribosomal RNA". The record is from RNAcentral. Lineage: Eukaryota; Viridiplantae; Streptophyta; Magnoliopsida; Poales; Poaceae.
AUGCUAUUUUGUGUUGCUCAACUAUAUCAUCCCCAUGACCGAUUAAUUGUUACAGUACUUAUCUUGCUAUCUGUUUAUUCGAACAAAACAGAUUUCCAGCCAGAUGGACAGGCGCCGAUCUCCAGCACCGACAAACAGAUAACACCCAAUGUUGAGUCCGGCAUGGUCUACUCCAAGCCCCGACAACUUGAAACAGACGAGAUACCGCUGAUCGUGGAUGACUUCAGACGCGCUGCCCGGAAUGCCAUCGAGGCGGGGUUCGACGGCGUGGAGAUCCACGGGGCACACGGGUGCCUAUUGGAGCAGUUCAUGAAAGACAGCUCUAACGACUGCACCGACGAGUACGGUGGCAGCCUUGAGAACCGAUGCCGCUUUGCGGUGGAGGUAAUUGAUGCUAUCGUCCAUGAGAUUGGUGCGGAUCGUGUAGGAAUCAGAUUGUCUCCAUUCGUGAACUACAUGGAUUGCUUCGACUCCGACCCACAUGCACUCGGGAUGUACAUGGUACAACAACUCAACAAGCAUCAAGGGUUCGUCUAUUGCCACAUGGUAGAACCCCGGAUGGCCAUUGUGGAUGGUCGUAGACAGAUACCCCACGGGCUCCUGCCCUUCAGGAAAGCAUUCAAUGGCACUUUCAUUGCCGCCGGAGUGUACGACCGAGAGGAAGGAAACAAAGUGGUGGCCGACGGCUAUGCUGAUCUCGUUGCUUAUGGGAGGAUCUUUCUGGCUAAUCCAGAUUUGCCAAAGAGAUUCGAGCUCGACUCACCCUUGAACAAGUACGACCGCAACACCUUCUACACGCAAGAUCCUGUCAUUGGCUACACAGACUAUCCUUUCCUUGAAGGCUCGAAUGCCAAGUAG